Oncorhynchus nerka (sockeye salmon) is the source of this 3528-nucleotide long non-coding RNA. RefSeq lists it as uncharacterized. The transcript has 2 exons. The record is from RefSeq and is a predicted model, not a curated record. NCBI's taxonomy places the organism in Eukaryota, Metazoa, Chordata, Actinopteri, Salmoniformes, Salmonidae.
CGCAACCCCCCUUCCAACUCAAAACUCUUUAUUGAUGCCGUUUUAGUGUUCUGCGGCGACUGACGGUUCGUUUUCGUCAAGAUGUAUUUUUUCCUGAAUAGCUUAUUAGUUUACUUUAAUUUUAGAAGUGACGAAUGAUAGCUAAGACUAAUAUGUAACAGGUCUCGUGUGACUGUAGUAUGGUAGUUUAAAGUGAUCAGAUAAAGUAGCUAUCUAACGUUACCUGCUAGCUUGUCUUUCGACGCCUACAUUAUUUGUUGCCUCAGCUUUUUUGCGAUGGUUGCUUUUACUUGAGUACUGAAUUACUUACGAUUCGUAUGCAAUAAGAUUAACAUAGCUAUAAGAAACGAUCAAGCUGACGUGUCCGUUCUGAAAGAUGAAAGCCACAACAAGGUUAUCGUUAGGUGGCAGGGUAUUGUUGUUAUCCUCGUCAGUUACGUAUUUAAACACAGAAUAAUUGUUAUUUCAGCUGAGUUGGCAUAUCUUUGCUAAGUAACAGCGAAAAUGUGACAUUUGUUAACUACGGUACCUAGCAAAAUGCGCGUGUUGUGGCGCAGUUGUAGGCGUGAUUUUUUUAAAAAUCGCGGCGUUUGACGAUGUUGUGGAGAAAUGGCUGCCGGGGUGACUCACUGCUGGUGCAGCUAUCUGAAGUAAAACUGUUUUAAAGCUCAUGAAAGAAUCAGGUUGUAUAAGUGUAAUUGAAAUAACCAAGUUACAAGACCAGAACCUUGUGAAGGGAGUGAAGCCGUUAGAAUAGCCAGCUAAAUAUUUGAAUAGAAAUUGAGCGUAGGUCCCACUUAUCCGAGGCAGUAUACUUCAAUGUGUAUACUAUUUAAUUAACCUAAAAUGAAGACUAGUUUGCAAGAGAAAUUUGAGCCCUUGGGAAUGGGCAGUAAAAUAUACCACUUACAAGACUGCCAUCUUGUGAAGACACGGAUAGUGGCCAGCUAAAUAUUUGAAGAUCAAGUUGAGUGUAGGUCCCUUAUAUCCGAGGCAGUUGAUAUACUUCAGUGCGUUAGAAGUGUUGGUUGCGCAUCAGGAAAAACAAUUUUAUAGUGAAAGGGGAACCAAGGUACAAGACUAUCCGUUCAAAAGUUUACUCUUUGAUUCUAGCCAGAAAAAAGUUUUAUCUAAACUGAAUAAGUACUGGUAGUUUGUCUCAAAUCCGUAUAGGCAACAUGUGAAAUAACCAAGUUACUGUUCUUGAAUCAUAUGAGAAGUUGUGAAGCCUCUUGAAUAGACAACUGAAUAUUGUAAGUUGUGCUGCAGUCGCCUUUUGAUCAUUUGAGUUAUAUUUAUUGAUUUUAUUUAUUUUUUUAACCUGACGCGAAGUACAAUAUGUGCUUAUGUUGUGAAACUUUAUUUCAAUAGCAAACAAAAUAUUGGAAGAUUAUUUAGGCCAACAGUGCCUGUUUGUCGGUCAUUUAAGCUGCUUCAAGAAGUAAAAAUGUUUUGAGCCUAAAAUGAACAAGAUGUGCUGCCGGUUACAUUUCCAAGUACAUCAGUUGCUUUGCUAGCACUAGUGGUAGGUCAAGGAGGUGCAGGCUCGUGACGUUGCUUUGUCACGCUUCAGAUUUGGUAAACUUUAUCUAUACACAAUUGGUUCUAGUUGGCGAAGAAAAGAAGAUUUUGCUGUAGAAGAAUGGACUGAGGUUUUUUUUUAAGGGGUGGGUGGGCACUUAGUUAGUAUGCAGUGUAUCAGAUGAGGAAGGACGACUUCAGGAUCAGGCAAGAACCAGGCAGAGGGAAACUAGGAGGACCAGCGGGGAGCCAGGCAGGAUCCAGGUGGAUCGCGGGAGGAGCAGACUGGACCCAGUUGAGCGAGCGGAACGCAGCAGUUUUCAUCAGAGGGAGCGCGCCAGAUGGCAGGGUAGCGAGCUGAGAGCGGAGCAGUCCCAGGUCAAGCGUUGCCCCAAUGCAGCCAGUGGGUCCCAGCAGAAAUGAGGCAGACGAGUAAAAGGGUCAACUAGCUUCGCAAGUGACAAUAAGUGUUUGUAUGAUGGGUAGCGGUAUCGAGUAAUGUUUAACUAGGCCAACAUCUUUGAAAUUAGUCCAUAUUAAAUCUGUCAACACAUUUUCUCGCAAAGUUUUCUUCCUCUUUCAGGUAAAGUGUUAAUUUUCCUGGUUGUGGCCUCUUCCUGUGUGAUGUCUGCUGUGAUGAGUCCCCCUUGGCCUACUUGGUAGAGUGCACUGGCGAGAGGACUGUCUUAAAGGAUUUCACCCUCCUGCAGCGCAGAUGUAGUACCCCCCUGGGCGGAGGAGUUUCUUCAUUGAGUUCAAUAGGUCUACUCCCCUGAGAAGUGGUCUACAUGGGAGUGUUGAGAGUCGAAAUUCUUCUGUACGUUCGUGCUGCUUUGGUGCUGAGCAGCUACAUCUGCUGGUUAAAGUGAGCAGUGAGUUUAAAUGCAUGCGAUGAUCAUGUGGGGAGUAACUAUUUCCCUCAAAUAUUGAUAUCAAAUUUCUAUUUGCCUCUUUGUAAUGGUAACUGAAAGGGAUUAUCCCUGCAUUUCAUUUGUAGUAUUGGUCAAACGUGCAUUUGUGGAUGGUGGGGGGGAGACUUUCCAAGUUCUUCUUUUCACAGGCUCGCACGCACCCUUAAAGCAAACCUGACCAUCCAAGGGAGUCCCUCUUUAGUACUGCCCACCACAUUCAUGAAAACGGUUGAGCACGUUCCCGAAACAGAUAAUUCUAAGGAUGGAUCAAGGGAAAUCUCUGGUGUUAAAAUCAUCUCCGUGUAAAGCAGCAUUUUAAAGAUCCAAAUGAUUAGCGUUGAUGUUUGAGGAGCAAGGAGUCAACCCAGUGGUCCACGUCUUUCGGGGUUCCUUUUGCCUUGUGGUGUGGAUAUUCCUUGGUGUCUACAAUGAUGUAGCAGGAGGCGGGCCACCUCUUGGAAUGUGAACUUGCGGUGUUCUCCCAGGGAGUGUGGUAACUUAACUUUUAGGCUGAUUCAUUUUAUAUCCUGGAGUUGAAAUUUGCAUUUGGGGUUUCUGGGGUCAGGGGAGGGCUUAACUGUGACUCUUCCAGAUUAUGACCCAGCCCUCAAUGAAAGAGACUGGAGGUCUACAUCUCCCCCGUCUUAAGGAGAACAGCUGAUGCCUUGAGGCCAGUGGUAUUUAAUUGUUUCUUGUGUAAAGUUAUUGUGUACGUGAAUUUGUGUAAAUUGUAUUUUAGCAACUGUUAAUACAAUUUUGAUGGUGGGUUGGUUACUGUAUGGGUGGGAAUGGUGGAAGUCUUGUUUUCCCUUUUGCGUUUUCCAGUGUGCUGUGUCCUACGCUUUCAGUACUGAAGAUCAACAGGAACGCCCCUAACUCAUUGUAUGUCAAGGUUUACUAUUGCUUCAAAACACCUCAUUAGGUCUCAAGUAAGGUCCCUUACAAAUGUUUUCACAUUUUAUAUUUCAUUAAUGACAUUUGGCACCUUGCCUUAAUUGCACGCCUUUGCAAAUUAGUUAAAUGUUUUGUAUUGAUGCAACUGAACAUUGUCAAGGAAUUAUAAUUGGUAAUAAAUGCAUAGCUUUUUCUGACUGAA